UUUGAUCCUGGCUCAUGACGAACGCUGGCGGUGCGCCUUAUGCAUGCAAGUCGAGCGAAGCUUUUCAGUAGUUUACUACAGAAAAUGACUGAGCGGCGAACGGGUGAGUAACGCGUGAGCAAUCUACCUUAGUUACAGGGAUAGCCCGAGGAAACUCGGAUUAAUACCUGAUAUUCUUUAUUUCUCGCAUGAGAAUAAAAGGAAAGGUCAGCCGAACUAAGAUGAGCUCGCGUUCUAUCAGCUAGUUGGUGAGGUAAAAGCUUACCAAGGCUACGACGGAUAGCUGGUCUGAGAGGACGAUCAGCCACACUGGGACUGAGACACGGCCCAGACUCCUACGGGAGGCUGCCGCAGGGAAUAUUGUGCAAUGAACGAAAGUUCGACACAGCGACACCGCGUGUGGGAUGACGGAUCUACGUUUGUAAACCACUUUCAGGAGGGAAGAAAAUGAC
This 452-nucleotide ribosomal RNA is filed under the name uncultured bacterium. Its description in RNAcentral is "bacterial SSU rRNA". It matches the Rfam family "Bacterial small subunit ribosomal RNA", at positions 12 to 455 of the family's 1533-position model. The record is from RNAcentral.